This 468-nucleotide ribosomal RNA is filed under the name uncultured bacterium. Its description in RNAcentral is "partial 16S ribosomal RNA". It matches the Rfam family "Bacterial small subunit ribosomal RNA", at positions 28 to 507 of the family's 1533-position model. The record is from RNAcentral.
GACGAACGCUGGCGGCGUGCUUAACACAUGCAAGUCGAACGGAAAGGCCCUGCUUUUGUGGGGUGCUCGAGUGGCGAACGGGUGAGUAACACGUGAGUAACCUGCCCUUGACUUUGGGAUAACUUCAGGAAACUGGGGCUAAUACCGGAUAGGAGCUCCUGCUGCAUGGUGGGGGUUGGAACGUUUCGGCGGUUGGGGAUGGACUCGCGGCUUAUCAGCUUGUUGGUGGGGUAGUGGCUUACCAAGGCUUUGACGGGUAGCCGGCCUGAGAGGGUGAACGGCGACAUUGGGACUGAGAUACGGCGCAGACUGCUACGGGAGGCAGCAGUGGGGAAUAUUGCACAGUGGGCGGAAGCCUGAUGCAGCAACGCCGCGUGCGGGAUGACGGCCUGCGGGGUGUAAACCGCUGUCGCCUGUGACGAAGCGGGAGUGACGGUAAUGGGUAAAGAAGCACCGGCUAACUACGUG